GCGCUCGUAGCUCAGGGGAUAGAGUGACGGUUUCCGAGGCCGCAGGUCGCAGGUUCAAAUCCUGCCGGGCGCACCA
RNAcentral lists this transfer RNA (76 nucleotides) under Desulfitobacterium sp. RNAcentral's name for it is "tRNA-Arg". It matches the Rfam family "tRNA". From Rfam's summary of the family: Transfer RNA (tRNA) molecules are approximately 80 nucleotides in length. The record is from RNAcentral. Lineage: Bacteria; Bacillati; Bacillota; Clostridia; Eubacteriales; Desulfitobacteriaceae. RNAcentral also lists the same sequence under 3 other names.